Molecule: ribosomal RNA, 732 nt
Filed under: uncultured bacterium
Lineage: Bacteria
Description: bacterial SSU rRNA
Rfam family: Bacterial small subunit ribosomal RNA
Source: RNAcentral
GAUGAACGCUGACAGAAUGCUUAACACAUGCAAGUCUACUUGAAGCUAGCUUCGGCUAGUGGAGGGUGGCGGACGGGUGAGUAACGCGUAAAGAACUUGCCUCACAGACUGGGACAACAUUUGGAAACGAAUGCUAAUACCGGAUAUUAUGAAUUUUCCGCAUGGAAGAGACAUGAAAGCUAUAUGCGCUGUGAGAGAGCUUUGCGUCCCAUUAGCUAGUUGGAGAGGUAACGGCUCACCAAGGCGAUGAUGGGUAGCCGGCCUGAGAGGGUGAACGGCCACAAGGGGACUGAGACACGGCCCUUACUCCUACGGGAGGCAGCAGUGGGGAAUAUUGGACAAUGGACCAAAAGUCUGAUCCAGCAAUUCUGUGUGCACGAUGAAGUUUUUCGGAAUGUAAAGUGCUUUCAGUUGGGAAGAAGCAAGUGACGGUACCAACAGAAGAAGCGACGGCUAAAUACGUGCCGGCAGCCGCGGUAAUACGUAUGUCGCAAGCGUUAUCCGGAUUUAUUGGGCGUAAAGCGCGUCUAGGUGGUUAUAUAAGUCUGAUGUGAAAAUGCGGGGCUCCACUCCGUAUUGCGUUGGAAACUGUAUGACUAGAGUACUGGAGAGGUAAGCGGAACUACAAGUGUAGAGGUGAAAUUCGUAGAUAUUUGUAGGAAUGCCGAUGGGGAAGCCAGCUUACUGGACAGAUACUGACGCUAAAGCGCGAAAGCGUGGGUAGCAAACAGG